GAAGGGUGUAGAUGUUGAUCGGGGUAGGCAAAUCCGCUCCGAGAGUCGAACCUGAUAGUAUGGAGCGUUCUUCGGAACAGUCCAAUAGUGCAUGUAAACAUACUCCCAAGAAAAUCCGCUAAACUUAAUCUUUAAGGUACCCGUACCGCAAACGGACACACGUAGUCGGGUUGAAUAUACUAAGGCGCUUGAGUGAUUCACGGUUAAGGAACUAGGCAAAUUGACCCUGUAACUUCGGGAUAAAGGGUCCCCACUGUAAGGUGGGGCGCAGAGAAUCGGUCCAGGCAACUGUUUAACAAAAACACAGGGCUGUGCAAAAUUGAAAGAUGAAGUAUACAGCCUGACACCUGCCCGGUGCUGGAAGGUUAAGAGGAGAUGUCAUCGCAAGAGAAGCAUUGAAUUGAAGCCCCAGUAAACGGCGGCCGUAACAAUAACGGUCCUAAGGUAGCGAAAUUCCUUGUCGGGUAAGUUCCGACCUGCACGAAUGGUGUAAUGAUCUGGACACUGUCUCAACCGUGAGCUCAGUGAAAUUGUAGUAUCGGUGAAGAUGCCGAUUACCCGCGAUGGGACGAAAAGACCCCGUGAACCUUUACUAUAGCUUAACAUUGAAUUUGGGUAAUUGAUGUGUAGGAUAGGCCGGAGGCUUUGAAGCAGGUACGCCAGUAUUUGUGGAGCCCCUGUUGAAAUACGGCCCUUUGGUUAUUUGAGUUCUAACUCGUGAUACGAGGACACUGUUUGGUGGGUAGUUUGACUGGGGUGGUCGCCUCCAAAAACGUAACGGAGGCUUCUAAAGGUGCCCUCACGACGAUUGGUAUCCGUCGGCAGAGUGUAAUGGCAUAAGGGCGCUUGACUGGGAGACUAACAAGUCGAUCAGGUAGGAAACUAGAGCAUAGUGAUCCGGUGUUUCUGUAUGGAAAGGACAUCGCUCAAAGGAUAAAAGGUACUCCGGCGAUAACAGGCUGAUCCCUCCCAAGAGCUCAUAUCGACGGAGGGGUUUGGCACCUCGAUGUCGGCUCGUCACAUCCUGGGGCUGGAGAAGGUCCCAAGGGUUGGGCUGUUCGCCCAUUAAAGUGGCACGCGAGCUGGGUUCAGAACGUCGUGGGACAGUUCGGUCUCUAUCUAUCGUGGGCGUAUGAAAUUUGCGUGGCUCUGACACUAGUACGAGAGGACCGUGUUGGACUGACCUCUGGUUUACCAGUUGUGUCGCCAGGUGCAUUGCUGGGUAUCUAAGUCGGGAUUGGAUAAGUGCUGAAAGCAUCUAAGUACGAAGCCAGCCACAAGAUUAGAUUUCUUAGGGUCGUCAAAGACGAUGACGUUGAUAGGAUGCAGGUAUAUAGGUGGUAACAUCAUAGCCGAGCAUUACUAAUUGCCC
RNAcentral lists this ribosomal RNA (1372 nucleotides) under metagenome. RNAcentral's name for it is "bacterial LSU rRNA". It matches the Rfam family "Bacterial large subunit ribosomal RNA", at positions 1513 to 2911 of the family's 2925-position model. The record is from RNAcentral.